GUGCCAGCAGCCGCGGUAAGACGAACCGUGCGAACGUUGUUCGGAAUCACUGGGCUUAAAGGGCGCGUAGGCGGACCACCAAGUCGGGGGUGAAAUCGUUCAGCCCAACUGGACAAGGGCUUCCGAUACUGGUGGUCUCGAGGGAGGUAGGGGUCGAGGGAACUAAUGGUGGAGCGGUGAAAUGCGUAGAUAUCAUUAGGAACGCCGGUGGCGAAAGCGCUCGACUGGACCUCUUCUGACGCUGAGGCGCGAAAGCCAGGGGAGCAAACGGGAUUAGAUACCCCGGUAGUCC
This 292-nucleotide ribosomal RNA is filed under the name uncultured bacterium. RNAcentral's name for it is "partial 16S ribosomal RNA". It matches the Rfam family "Bacterial small subunit ribosomal RNA", at positions 505 to 796 of the family's 1533-position model. The record is from RNAcentral.